This 730-nucleotide ribosomal RNA is filed under the name uncultured eukaryote. Its description in RNAcentral is "SSU rRNA". It matches the Rfam family "Eukaryotic small subunit ribosomal RNA", at positions 670 to 1426 of the family's 1831-position model. The record is from RNAcentral.
CGGGUGCACUGAUCCAGCCGGGCCUUUCCCUCUGUGGAACCCCAUGGCCUUCACUGGCUGUGGUGGGGAAACAGGACUUUUACUUUGAAAAAAUUAGAGUGCUCCAGGCAGGCCUAUGCUCGAAUACAUUAGCAUGGAAUAAUAGAAUAGGACGUGUGGUUCUAUUUUGUUGGUUUCUAGGACCGCCGUAAUGAUUAAUAGGGACAGUCGGGGGCAUCAGUAUUCAAUUGUCAGAGGUGAAAUUCUUGGAUCUAUUGAAGACUAACUACUGCGAAAGCAUUUGCCAAGGAUGUUUUCAUUGAUAAGGAACGAAAGUUAGGGGAUCGAAGACGAUCAGAUACCGUCGUAGUCUUAACUAUAAACUAUGCCCGACUAGGGAUCGGACGAUGUUAUUCUUUGACGCGUUCGGCACCUUUCGAGAAAUCAAAGUGCUUGGGCUCCAGGGGGAGUAUGGUCGCAAGGCUGAAACUUAAAGAAAUUGACGGAAGGGCACCACCAGGGGUGGAACCUGCGGCUUAAUUUGACUCAACACGGGGAAACUCACCAGGUCCAGACACAGUGAGGAUUGACAGAUUGAGAGCUCUUUCUUGAUUCUGUGGGUGGUGGUGCAUGGCCGUUCUUAGUUGGUGGAGUGAUUUGUCUGCUUAAUUGCGAUAACGAACGAGACCUUAACCUGCUAAAUAGCCCGUACUGCUUUGGCAGUUCGCCGGCUUCUUAGAGGGACUAUCGG